Molecule: ribosomal RNA, 541 nt
Filed under: uncultured Gallionellaceae bacterium
Lineage: Bacteria; Pseudomonadati; Pseudomonadota; Betaproteobacteria; Nitrosomonadales; Gallionellaceae
Description: bacterial SSU rRNA
Rfam family: Bacterial small subunit ribosomal RNA
Source: RNAcentral
AGUGGGGGAUAACGUAGCGAAAGUUACGCUAAUACCGCAUAUGCCCUGAGGGGGAAAGGUGGGGAUCGUAAGACCUAUCGCUUUCGGAGUGGCCGAUAUCAGAUUAGCUAGUUGGUGGGGUAAAGGCCUACCAAGGCGACGAUCUGUAGCUGGUCUGAGAGGACGACCAGCCACACUGGGACUGAGACACGGCCCAGACUCCUACGGGAGGCAGCAGUGGGGAAUUUUGGACAAUGGGGGCAACCCUGAUCCAGCCAUGCCGCGUGAGUGAAGAAGGCCUUCGGGUUGUAAAGCUCUUUCGGACGGAAAGAAAUCGCCAUUUCUAAUACAAGUGGUGGAUGACGGUACCGUCAUAAGAAGCACCGGCUAACUACGUGCCAGCAGCCGCGGUAAUACGUAGGGUGCGAGCGUUAAUCGGAAUUACUGGGCGUAAAGCGUGCGCAGGCGGUUUUGUAAGACAGGUGUGAAAUCCCCGGGCUUAACCUGGGAACUGCAUUUGUGACUGCAGGGCUAGAGUGUGGCAGAGGGGGGUAGAAUUCCA